GAUGAACGCUGGCGGCGUGCUUAACACAUGCAAGUCGAACGAAGCACUUUAUUUGAUUUCCUUCGGGACUGAUUAUUUUGUGACUGAGUGGCGGACGGGUGAGUAACGCGUGGGUAACCUGCCUUGUACAGGGGGAUAACAGUUGGAAACGGCUGCUAAUACCGCAUAAGCGCACAGCAUCGCAUGAUGCAGUGUGAAAAACUCCGGUGGUAUAAGAUGGACCCGCGUUGGAUUAGCUAGUUGGUGAGGUAACGGCCCACCAAGGCGACGAUCCAUAGCCGACCUGAGAGGGUGACCGGCCACAUUGGGACUGAGACACGGCCCAAACCCCUACGGGAAGCAGCAGUGGGGAAUAUUGCACAAUGGGCGAAAGCCUGAUGCAGCGACGCCGCGUGAGCGAAGAAGUAUUUCGGUAUGUAAAGCUCUAUCAGCAGGGAAGAUAAUGACGGUACCUGACUAAGAAGCACCGGCUAAAUACGUG
RNAcentral lists this ribosomal RNA (481 nucleotides) under uncultured bacterium. RNAcentral's name for it is "partial 16S ribosomal RNA". It matches the Rfam family "Bacterial small subunit ribosomal RNA", at positions 28 to 507 of the family's 1533-position model. The record is from RNAcentral.